AUUGACCCUGGGCUUCCUAAAGGCAGCUGGGUGGACACAAGAUGUGGCUUAGGGCCCUCGUGUCCACCCAGCUGCCUUUAGGAAGCCCAGGGUCAAU
Molecule: microRNA precursor, 97 nt
Filed under: Podarcis lilfordi (Lilford's wall lizard)
Lineage: Eukaryota; Metazoa; Chordata; Lepidosauria; Squamata; Lacertidae
Source: RNAcentral